UGUGUAGGCGGUUCUUUUAAGUUUGGUGUGAAAUCUCCCGGCUCAACUGGGAGGGAGCGCCGAAUACUGAGGGACUAGAGUACGGGAGAGGAAAGUGGAAUUCCUGGUGUAGCGGUGAAAUGCGUAGAUAUCAGGAGGAACACCGGUGGUGUAGACGGCUUUCUGGACCGACACUGACGCUGAGACACGAAAGCGUGGGUAGCAAACAGGAUUAGAUACCCUGGUAGUCCACGCCCUAAACGAUGCAUAUUUGGUGUGGGCAGUUCAUUCUGUCCGUGCCGGAGCUAACGCGUUAAAUAUGCCGCCUGGGGAGUACAGUCGCGAAGGCUGAA
This 332-nucleotide ribosomal RNA is filed under the name uncultured bacterium. RNAcentral describes it as "bacterial SSU rRNA". It matches the Rfam family "Bacterial small subunit ribosomal RNA", at positions 568 to 898 of the family's 1533-position model. The record is from RNAcentral.